This 446-nucleotide small RNA is filed under the name Pan troglodytes (chimpanzee). RNAcentral describes it as "processed transcript". The record is from RNAcentral. Lineage: Eukaryota; Metazoa; Chordata; Mammalia; Primates; Hominidae.
GUAACCGCAUCUGAUCUGGGCGCUCCGGGAAGGGCGAGACUGGAGCAGAGCCGCUGGGCGCCGGAGCCGAGGCGAGCGCCGCGCGCACCACUGAGACGCAGUCUCACUGUGUUGCCCAGAAUGGUUUCAAACUCCUCAAAGAUUGGGCUCAAAGUUCGGGCUCAAGUGAUCCUCCCGCCUUGGCCUCCCGAAGUUCUUGGAUUACAAGCUUGAGCCACUGCCUGGCCUCAAUUUCACUCUUAAAAAAAUAUUUCAAAUAUACAAAUAAUCUAAAAAGUGGGGACUAAUGUUCUAGAUACUGAUAUUCCUACCACACCCAUCAGAAAAGAAAUGCGAACACUGUUCUAGAUGUUUUCAGAUUUAUCUUUACUUCUCCAUUAUUGCAGUUAUUUUUACUAUUUUUAUUUGUGCCAUUCAACAUACACCCUCUUACAACUACUUGCUAG